This 1324-nucleotide ribosomal RNA is filed under the name metagenome. RNAcentral's name for it is "bacterial LSU rRNA". It matches the Rfam family "Bacterial large subunit ribosomal RNA", at positions 1561 to 2925 of the family's 2925-position model. The record is from RNAcentral.
AGUGGAUGGGGAGCAACCUAGUUGUGCGUGUGUAAAGGUAGUGCCAAAAAGCGGUGAUCAUGAUGAAAAUCAAUUCCCGGUACCCGAAACCGACACAGGUGGACAAGUAGAGAAUACUAAGGGGCGCGAGGUAACUCUCUCCAAGGAACUCGGCAAAAUGACCCCGUAACUUAGGGAGAAGGGGUGCCACCGAGAGGUGGUCGCAGUGAAGAGGCCCAGGCGACUGUUUAGCAAAAACAUAGGUCUCUGCAAACUCGAAAGAGGAGGUAUAGGGGCUGACGCCUGCCCAGUGCCGGAAGGUUAAAGAAGUUGGUCAGUCUUAGGAUGAAGCUAGCGACUGAAGCCCCGGUGAACGGCGGCCGUAACUAUAACGGUCCUAAGGUAGCGAAAUUCCUUGUCGGGUAAGUUCCGACCCGCACGAAAGGCGUAACGAUCUGGGCGCUGUCUCGGAGAGAGGCUCGGCGAAAUAGGAUUGUCUGUGAAGAUACGGACUACCUGCAUUUGGACAGAAAGACCCUAUGAAGCUUUACUAUAGCUUGGAAUUGUGUUCGGGCUUCCUGUGCGCAGGAUAGGUGGGAGGCGUAGAAGGUAUUCUUGUGGGGAUACUGGAGCCAACGGUGAGAUACCACUCUCAGGAGGCUAGAAUUCUAACUUAAUUAAGGACAGUUUCAGGUGGGUAGUUUGACUGGGGCGGUCGCCUCCAAAAAGGUAACGGAGGCGUACAAAGGUUCCCUCAGACUGGUUGGAAAUCAGUCGAAGAGUGCAAAGGCAGAAGGGAGCUUGACUGCGAGAAGUACAGUUCGAGCAGGGUGGAAACACGGUCUUAGUGAUCCGACGGUGCUGUGUGGAAGGGCCGUCGCUCAACGGAUAAAAGUUACUCUAGGAUAACAGGCUGAUCUCCCCCAAGAGUUCACAUCGACGGGGAGGUUUGGCACCUCGAUGUCGGCUCAUCGCAACCUGGGGCGGAAGUACGUCCCAAGGGUUGGGCUGUUCGCCCAUUAAAGCGGUACGUGAGCUGGGUUCAGAACGUCGUGAGACAGUUCGGUCCAUAUCCGAUGUAGGCGUGAGAAUAUUGAGAGGAGCCUUCCUUAGUACGAGAGGACCGGGAAGGACGCACCGCUGGUGUACCUGUUAUGAUGCCAAUUGUAAACGCAGGGUAGCCAAGUGCGGAGAGGAUAACCGCUGAAAGCAUCUAAGUGGGAAGCCCACCUCAAGAUGAGUAUUCUGGUGUAAGGUCACGGGAAGACGACCCGUAAAUAGGCACGAGGUGGAAGUGCAGAGAUGUAUGAAGCCGAAGUGUACUAAUAGACCGUCGGCUUGACCU